GUGGUUUAUGGCGAUGGAAAAAUCACACUCGUUAAGGGCAGCACAUACACUAAAAUUGGAACGAUACAGAGAAGAUUAGCAUACCCCCUGCACAAGGAUGACACACGAAUUUGUGAAGCGUUCCAUAUUUUU
RNAcentral lists this small nuclear RNA (132 nucleotides) under Loxodonta africana (African savanna elephant). The record is from RNAcentral. Lineage: Eukaryota; Metazoa; Chordata; Mammalia; Proboscidea; Elephantidae.